CCUACGGGGGGCUGCAGUGGGGAAUAUUGGACAAUGGGCGAAAGCCUGAUCCAGCCAUGCCGCGUGUGUGAAGAAGGCCUUCGGGUUGUAAAGCACUUUCAGUGGGGAAGAAAGCCUUGGGGCUAAUACCCUCGAGGAAGGACAUCACCCACAGAAGAAGCACCGGCUAACUCCGUGCCAGCAGCCGCGGUAAUACGGAGGGUGCGAGCGUUAAUCGGAAUUACUGGGCGUAAAGCGCGCGUAGGCGGUCUGAUAAGCCGGUUGUGAAAGCCCCGGGCUCAACCUGGGAACGGCAUCCGGAACUGUCAGGCUAGAGUGCAGGAGAGGAAGGUAGAAGUCCCGGUGUAGCGGUGAAAUGCGUAGAGAUCGGGAGGAAUACCAGUGGCGAAGGCGGCCUUCUGGACUGACACUGACGCUGAGGUGCGAAAGCGUGGGUAGCAAACAGGAUUAGAUACCCUAGGAGUC
Molecule: ribosomal RNA, 465 nt
Filed under: Vreelandella stevensii
Lineage: Bacteria; Pseudomonadati; Pseudomonadota; Gammaproteobacteria; Oceanospirillales; Halomonadaceae
Description: partial 16S ribosomal RNA
Rfam family: Bacterial small subunit ribosomal RNA
Source: RNAcentral